This 207-nucleotide ribosomal RNA is filed under the name uncultured bacterium. RNAcentral's name for it is "partial 16S ribosomal RNA". It matches the Rfam family "Bacterial small subunit ribosomal RNA", at positions 568 to 774 of the family's 1533-position model. The record is from RNAcentral.
UACGUAGGCGGCUUUGUAAGUUAGAGGUGAAAGCCCGGGGCUCAACCCCGGAAUUGCCUUUAAGACUGCAUCGCUUGAAUCAUGGAGAGGUUAGUGGAAUUCCGAGUGUAGAGGUGAAAUUUGUAGAUAUUCGGAAGAACACCAGUGGCGAAGGCGACUAACUGGACAUGUAUUGACGCUGAGGUACGAAAGCGUGGGGAGCAAACA